Molecule: long non-coding RNA, 139 nt
Organism: Sander lucioperca (pikeperch)
Lineage: Eukaryota; Metazoa; Chordata; Actinopteri; Perciformes; Percidae
Exons: 3
Source: RefSeq, a predicted model, not a curated record
ACUCUAAGUGAGAAGACUGUAUGAGACAUGCAACAAUACAGUCAACAUUUUCUGACUUUCGAUUAAAUAAAAGCAUGUCAAUAAACUAUACAUGUCUGGCCCUUAAUGUGAUUCUCAUUUUCUAGCGUGGCCCUUAGUG